This is a long non-coding RNA of Leopardus geoffroyi (Geoffroy's cat), 919 nucleotides long. RefSeq lists it as uncharacterized. Lineage: Eukaryota; Metazoa; Chordata; Mammalia; Carnivora; Felidae. The record is from RefSeq and is a predicted model, not a curated record. The transcript has 2 exons.
CUUAGGGAGCAUGUCUGAGGAACUACAGAGAGGCCAGGUUGGUGAGAACAGACUAUGUGAAUAGAAGGCUGACAGAAAUGAGGUCACAAAGGAAGCUAGUAGAUAGAUCACAUAAGGCUGUGUAGGACCUGGUAAGAAACAGGAGUUUUAUUCUAUGCGUAAUGAGUAGGAGAGAUUUUAAGCAGAAGAGUACGUACUCUGACUUUUGGUUUAAAAGUCUCAACCUUGGUGGAUAUGAAUUUAACAAGCUACCGGGGUCAGGAAAGAGGACAGAAUUCUGAGUUAAGAAGUAACUGUAGUAAUCUAGGAAAGAGAUCAGGAAUAUUUAAACUAAGGAGGAAGUGAAUCCACCAGCAACAGUGCCCGCUGGCAGGCAUCAUGGCUUAAUUCUCCCAGGAAACCCUGGCUGAGAACGUCUACGGGAUCAAGUCUAAUCUCCUCAGAAUGAAACAGAAGAUCAUUUACAUGCCAUAGACAUCUCCACCGUAUUUCUUGAGACUUCUCUUCCCUUCUUCCUAUAUCAAGCUACCGACGAUUUCCUUAAUGCCGAGCCUAUUUCCAACUUCUUUGUUUGGAAUUCCCUUGGAGUCUCUGUGGUAGUGUCUACUAAUCUUUAUCAAAGUGGAAGCAUGAUCCUAUCCAUGAAACACUUCCUCCUAUUCCCUAACGCAGAACCGAGGUCUUCCUUCUUGGUAGGUAUAUGAUAGUGAUCUUCAGCCAUCUGAUGGGAAGUCAUGUAGAAGACAGAACAAACAUGAUCUCAGCUAUAUGGAAGGCCACACAGGACCAGAAUGUUAUAGUCCUACGUUUGUCAAGUAAUGAAUUUGUCUUCAACUGUCACUGGGUUUAGCAUGUCAAUCUGGACAACCAGGUCAUUUCCAGGACACUGGUUUCUGAAAAUACAGAUUUGGUACAGUUA